GCCUGGGUGGCUCAGUCGGUGGAGCAUCUGACUCGUGGCUCAGGCCAUGAUCUCACGGUUCGUGGGUUCGAGCCCCGCAUCGGGCU
This 86-nucleotide transfer RNA is filed under the name Felis catus (domestic cat). It matches the Rfam family "tRNA". Rfam says of the family: Transfer RNA (tRNA) molecules are approximately 80 nucleotides in length. Their secondary structure includes four short double-helical elements and three loops (D, anti-codon, and T loops). The record is from Rfam by way of RNAcentral. Lineage: Eukaryota; Metazoa; Chordata; Mammalia; Carnivora; Felidae.